Molecule: ribosomal RNA, 467 nt
Filed under: uncultured bacterium
Lineage: Bacteria
Description: partial 16S ribosomal RNA
Rfam family: Bacterial small subunit ribosomal RNA
Source: RNAcentral
GACGAACGCUGGCGGCGUGCUUAACACAUGCAAGUCGAACGGAAAGGCCCUGCUUUUGUGGGGUGCUCGAGUGGCGAACGGGUGAGUAACACGUGAGUAACCUGCCCUUGACUUUGGGAUAACUUCAGGAAACUGGGGCUAAUACCGGAUAGGAGCUCCUGCUGCAUGGUGGGGGUUGGAAAGUUUCGGCGGUUGGGGAUGGACUCGCGGCUUAUCAGCUUGUUGGUGGGGUAGUGGCUUACCAAGGCUUUGACGGGUAGCCGGCCUGAGAGGGUGUCCGGCCACAUUGGGACUGGGAUACGGCCCAGACGCCUACGGGAGGCAGCAGUGGGGAAUAUGGCACAAGGGGCGGAAGCCUGAGGCAGCAACGCCGCGUGCGGGAGGACGGCCUUCGGGUUGUAAACCGCUUUCGCCUGUGACGAAGCGUGAGUGACGGUAAUGGGGAAAGAAGCACCGGCUAACUACGU